AUUGAACGUUGGCGGCAUGCCUUACACAUGCAAGUCGAACGGCAGCACGGGAGCAAUCCUGGUGGCGAGUGGCGAACGGGUGAGUAAAGUAUCGGAACGUGCCCAGUCGUGGGGGAUAACGUAGCGAAAGUUACGCUAAUACCGCAUACGAUCUAUGGAUGAAAGCGGGGGAUCGCAAGACCUCGCGCGAUUGGAGCGGCCGAUAUCAGAUUAGGUAGUUGGUGGGGUAAAGGCUCACCAAGCCGACGAUCUGUAGCUGGUCUGAGAGGACGACCAGCCACACUGGGACUGAGACACGGCCCAGACUCCUACGGGAGGCAGCAGUGGGGAAUUUUGGACGAUGGGCGAAAGCCUGAUCCAGCCAUGCCGCGUGCAGGAUGAAGGCCUUCGGGUUGUAAACUGCUUUUGUACGGAACGAAAAGGUUUGGCCUAAUAAGCUGAGCUCAUGACGGUACCGUAAGAAUAAGCACCGGCUAACUACGUGCCAGCCGCCGCCGCGG
This 500-nucleotide ribosomal RNA is filed under the name uncultured bacterium. Its description in RNAcentral is "partial 16S ribosomal RNA". It matches the Rfam family "Bacterial small subunit ribosomal RNA", at positions 30 to 523 of the family's 1533-position model. The record is from RNAcentral.